This is a long non-coding RNA of Myzus persicae (green peach aphid), 1038 nucleotides long. RefSeq lists it as uncharacterized. Lineage: Eukaryota; Metazoa; Arthropoda; Insecta; Hemiptera; Aphididae. The transcript has 2 exons. The record is from RefSeq and is a predicted model, not a curated record.
UGAAAUAUAUUUUUAUCGAAAAGUGCAACGAUCGUUUUAUAAAUUUCUCGAGAAAAAAACGACAUGGUUUGUGUCGAAAUUUUUUCUUGCACAGAACACGUUUCUAAGCGUAAUUGACUUAUGCAUAGAAAACCAAAAUCAAUAUAGAUAAUAUGUUAAUGUAAUAUAAAACCGAAUCUAUACUUAGGCAAGUUAGACACUGACGGUCAUGAGUUUUCAUGAUAUUCUAAUAAUCAUAGGUGGUAAAAUCGAUGAAUAAUGUCAGUUGAUCUGAACACGAAUAGAAAAUCGAUUUUUGUGAUCAGGAAUAUUAUAUUAUGUAUUAGAACUAAUGUAUUUAUUUUCAUUAUUCAUUAAUGCGUGUUAGGUGUUCAUCAGUGUAAUAACACAGUCCAGAUUUUUAGGUUUUUACAUAUCUUCAUUACAGUUUCAUAGGAGUGAAAAAUGUAGGGCGUUCAUUUGGAUACAGAGUUCGCAGAUGAAAGUUUUUCUUGCAUGUUUGAAAAUAUUUCAGGGGCUGGGGAGUAUUUCGUUUUUUUAGAUUCGGAUUAAAGGAGUUCGGGGUAGGCAAUUUCCUAAGUGCCAAGUGAACACAAGUCGUGUUAUAGAUGUGUGCGAAUUAAGUGAUUAUGAUUAUAGUGCGUAUUAUUAUCAUUAUUUUUUUUUCUAUUUUUUAUUACUUAUACAAUCACAAUCAGUGUAGUUGAAGGUAUAGGUAUACCUAUGUGUGUAUCUGAGUUUCGUUGAGUUAUCCACAUUCUUUCAUAAUUAUUUAUAAAAAUCGUUGUGUUUAUUUAUAAUAAUAUGUUGGUGGUUUCGCAGACACUUUGUGCAAAUACAGUCAGUCUAAUUAUUUUUUUCUCUCGGGUUGCAAUACCUAAACGCAGCACAACGUUUAUAACUUUAUAUUAUGUCCAUACCGUUCAUAAUUGACCAUGUAAGACAAAAGUGUUGAUUCUCCUAGACCUGAAGCCAUGGAUGUCAGUGCUACACCGAUGGCUGCAACUAGUUCAGUAUUCGCUCUUGCCACAGUUAUAA